UACCGUAAACCGACACAGGUAGUCGAGGAGAGUAUCCUAAGGCGCUCGAGUGAUCCGUGGCUAAGGAACUAGGCAAAAUUGACUCGUAACUUCGGGAGAAGAGUCGCCCCCGUGAGGGGGCCGCAGUGAAAAGGCCCAGGCGACUGUUUAGCAAAAACACAGGACUCUGCGAAAUCGAAAGAUGAAGUAUAGGGUCUGACACCUGCCCGGUGCUGGAAG
Molecule: ribosomal RNA, 219 nt
Filed under: Madagascaria erythrocladioides
Lineage: Eukaryota; Rhodophyta; Compsopogonophyceae; Erythropeltidales; Erythrotrichiaceae
Description: partial Bacterial large subunit ribosomal RNA
Rfam family: Bacterial large subunit ribosomal RNA
Source: RNAcentral